Molecule: long non-coding RNA, 1062 nt
Organism: Halichondria panicea
Lineage: Eukaryota; Metazoa; Porifera; Demospongiae; Suberitida; Halichondriidae
Exons: 3
Source: RefSeq, a predicted model, not a curated record
GCAUGAUCAUGAUUUGAUUCCUUAUAUAGAGUUGGCAUUAUGGUCGUCAAUGGUGUGAGCGACUGGUUCCAUGCAGCCUGUACCGCUCCAGAUUCUGUCCAAUACGAUAGAACACACCCUCCACUCUGGGGGGAGGGGGGUAUAACAUGUUCAAUGCAUGCAUUUAAUUAGGGAUCAUUUAAUUUCCAAUGGUAGACUCUACCUGGACAUCUAAAAGGUGGCCACCCAGGAGGAGAAAGCUAACACAAUCGUGUGAUUAUUUGUGUGCUUGAGUGGGUUUGUCUGACAGAAUGUGUACCAUCACCACAAUCAAUUUGUGUAUAGGAAGCUAAGCCUACACCACAUAUGCAUGCUUGGUCAGUGACUCAUUACUGUCUAAUGAGGGUCUAGCCACACCAAUUAGCUUCAAAUCUCCCUAGCAUAAUUAUGUUUCUACCCGUGCAAGCAAACAAGCCACAUCUUUAUUACAGCCACCUGUUGGUCUGCCCCACUGUGACCACCAUAAACAAGUUUCUCAGAACUGAGCUCAUCACUAUAAUUCACAUGCAUGUACGUGCAUGUAUGAUCACGGUGGAACCUCCGACGAGGAGUGGUGAUACGAAUGGUCCUCGGGGGAACCAAUACAUCCAACAAGUCAACUGUGUUAGCCUGUGUAUAUUUCAUUAUGAUCAUUAUGAGUCAAGCUAAAGCACUCAGACAAAGAUUUACCAAGAAAUCGUGUCACAUUGGUAUGAAGAAGCUCAUCUCGAUUAUAGAAGCAUCUAAAAAGGCAAGUAUUUAUACUGUACUGUAUGUUCAAUGGUGUGUUGUGUGUACAUGUACAUUACCUGUGUAGCCAUUGUGCAUGCAGUAUAGCAGUAAAUAAUUAUGCUCGUCCACUGCAGGGAGAUAGUUAUGAUGUGGACAUGAUCGUAAGGAGGUUAGAAAUUGAAGGACACCUCACCAACUAAACUAUUGAUAGCAUUAAUUGCUGCCACUUUCUAAGACAUCUCUGAAUAUUUUAUUUUAGUUUUGCGUUCUAUACAUUUUAGCUGGAUUUCCUAUAAUUAUUAUUGUUAUUUA